AGAGUUUGAUCAUGGCUCAGGAUGAACGCUGGCGGCGUGCCUAAUACACGCAAGUCGAACGCUUUGUCUUUUAUUGAUCUGACGAGCUUGCUCUGAUGUGAUUUUAUCUGACAAAGAGUGGCGCACGGGUGAGUCACACGUGGGUAACCUACCUCUUUAGCAGGGGAUAACACUUGGAAACAAGUGCUAAUACCGUAUAAUACCAACAACCGCAUGGUUGUUGGUUGAAAGAUGGUUCUGCUAUCACUAAGAGAUGGACCCGCGGUGCAUUAGCUAGUUGGUAAGGUAACGGCUUACCAAGGCAAUGAUGCAUAGCCGAGUUGAGAGACUGAUCGGCCACAAUGGGACUGAGACACGGCCCAUACUCCUACGGGAGGCAGCAGUAGGGAAUCUUCCACAAUGGGCGCAAGCCUGAUGGAGCAACGCCGCGUGUGUGAUGAAGGGUUUCGACUCGUAAAACACUGUUAUAAGAGAAGAACGGCACUGAGAGUAACUGUUCAGUGUGUGACGGUAUCUUACCAGAAAGGAACGGCUAAAUACGUGCCAGCAGCCGCGGUAAUACGUAUGUUCCAAGCGUUAUCCGGAUUUAUUGGGCGUAAAGCGAGCGCAGACGGUUAUUUAAGUCUGAAGUGAAAGCCCUCAGCUCAACUGAGGAAUGGCUUUGGAAACUGGAUGACUUGAGUGCAGUAGAGGAAAGUGGAACUCCAUGUGUAGCGGUGAAAUGCGUAGAUAUAUGGAAGAACACCAGUGGCGAAGGCGGCUUUCUGGACUGUAACUGACGUUGAGGCUCGAAAGUGUGGGUAGCAAACAGGAUUAGAUACCCUGGUAGUCCACACCGUAAACGAUGAGUGC
RNAcentral lists this ribosomal RNA (852 nucleotides) under uncultured bacterium. Its description in RNAcentral is "bacterial SSU rRNA". It matches the Rfam family "Bacterial small subunit ribosomal RNA", at positions 8 to 816 of the family's 1533-position model. The record is from RNAcentral.